RNAcentral lists this ribosomal RNA (497 nucleotides) under uncultured bacterium. Its description in RNAcentral is "partial 16S ribosomal RNA". It matches the Rfam family "Bacterial small subunit ribosomal RNA", at positions 28 to 507 of the family's 1533-position model. The record is from RNAcentral.
GAUGAACGCUGGCGGCGUGCCUAAUACAUGCAAGUCGAGCGAACAGACGAGGAGCUUGCUCCUCUGACGUUAGCGGCGGACGGGUGAGUAACACGUGGAUAACCUACCUAUAAGACUGGGAUAACUUCGGGAAACCGGAGCUAAUACCGGAUAAUAUAUUGAACCGCAUGGUUCAAUAGUGAAAGACGGUUUUGCUGUCACUUAUAGAUGGAUCCGCGCCGCAUUAGCUAGUUGGUAAGGUAACGGCUUACCAAGGCAACGAUGCGUAGCCGACCUGAGAGGGAGAUCGGCCACACUGGAACUGAGACACGGUCCAGACUCCUACGGGAGGCAGCAGUAGGGAAUCUUCCGCGAUGGGCGAAAGCCUGACGGAGCAACGCCGCGUGAGUGAUGAAGGUCUUCGGAUCGUAAAACUCUGUUAUUAGGGAAGAACAAAUGUGUAAGUAACUAUGCACGUCUUGACGGUACCUAAUCAGAAAGCCACGGCUAACUACGUG